GCCCGGGUGGUGAAAUUGGUAGACACGCGAGACUUAAAAUCUCGUCGCUUUAGGGCGGUGCCGGUUCGAUUCCGGCCCCGGGCACCA
Molecule: transfer RNA, 87 nt
Filed under: Pseudomonadales bacterium
Lineage: Bacteria; Pseudomonadati; Pseudomonadota; Gammaproteobacteria; Pseudomonadales
Also listed under: 2 other names
Description: tRNA-Leu
Rfam family: tRNA
About the family: Transfer RNA (tRNA) molecules are approximately 80 nucleotides in length. Their secondary structure includes four short double-helical elements and three loops (D, anti-codon, and T loops). Further hydrogen bonds mediate the characteristic L-shaped molecular structure. tRNAs have two regions of fundamental functional importance: the anti-codon, which is responsible for specific mRNA codon recognition, and the 3' end, to which the tRNAs corresponding amino acid is attached (by aminoacyl-tRNA synthetases). tRNAs cope with the degeneracy of the genetic code in two manners: having more than one tRNA (with a specific anti-codon) for a particular amino acid; and 'wobble' base-pairing, i.e. permitting non-standard base-pairing at the 3rd anti-codon position.
Source: RNAcentral